Molecule: long non-coding RNA, 689 nt
Organism: Sphaeramia orbicularis (orbiculate cardinalfish)
Lineage: Eukaryota; Metazoa; Chordata; Actinopteri; Kurtiformes; Apogonidae
Exons: 4
Source: RefSeq, a predicted model, not a curated record
GAAGGACGUCACUACGCGCAGGCGCAAUGACUCACCAACACCAACAGCAGCCAACUGGAGAGGAGCUCCAAGCUAACGGCGGAAAGUUUGAAUGUGAAUAAACGUUUCCAAAACACAGGUGUGGUCAGUGAAUGCAUCACCAUCCAGACAGUGAUGGAGAUGAGCCGCAGUGACCCAUGGACUAUUACAGGAAUGACACUUAGAUGUUUUUCUGCAUCAGUGGAUGAGAGGAUGGAAAUGGAGGAACAUCAGACAGAACUGAGAACAACUCCUUCUCUGCGCUGAGGCUGCUGGGUUUCCUGCGUCAGUGGAUGAAGUCCUGGAAAUGGAGAACCAUCAUCUGUGGAGCUGCUGGAGGACAGAUCUGAUCUUUAUGACUGUUUUAGAGGUCAGUGAAUACUCCAACUGUGGGAUGUUUUGGAUCUGUUGAAUUGGUGAUUUCCUGUAUUGAGUCUAUUGUUGGUAGAGCUGAAACAGGUGUGCAGUUUGUAAGUGGUGGUCAGUCCCAUUCAUUUAAUGUGGUUUUUCAUUCAGACACAGUCGGGGUUGACUGUUGGUUUACACAAAUAUGCAUUCCUGAUCCAGUAUGGGUUCAGUUCUAUUCAGUUGUGUUUUCUGUUUUGCAGAGGUUUGAGGUUUUAUACAGUUUGUUAGUUUGUUAACCAGAGUAGGUCCAAAUGUUGUCCUGU